CACAUGCAAGUCGAACGGUAACAGGAACCCUUUUGCUGCUUUGCUGACGAGUGGCGGACGGGUGAGUAAUGUCUGGGAAACUGCCUGAUGGAGGGGGAUAACUACUGGAAACGGUAGCUAAUACCGCAUAACGCCGCAAGACCAAAGAGGGGGACCUUAGGGCCUCUUGCCAUCGGAUGUGCCCAGAUGGGAUUAGCUAGUAGGUGGGGUAACGGCUCACCUAGGCGACGAUCCCUAGCUGGUCUGAGAGGAUGACCAGCCACACUGGAACUGAGACACGGUCCAGACUCCUACGGGAGGCAGCAGUGGGGAAUAUUGCACAAUGGGCGCAAGCCUGAUGCAGCCAUGCCGCGUGUAUGAAGAAGGCCUUCGGGUUGUAAAGUACUUUCAGCGGGGAGGAAGGGAGUAAAGUUAAUACCUUUGCUCAUUGACGUUACCCGCAGAAGAAGCACCGGCUAACUCCGUGCCAGCAGCCGCGGUAAUACGGAGGGUGCAAGCGUUAAUCGGAAUUACUGGGCGUAAAGCGCACGCAGGCGGUUUGUUAAGUCAGAUGUGAAAUCCCCGGGCUCAACCUGGGAACUGCAUCUGAUACUGGCAAGCUUGAGUCUCGUAGAGGGGGGUAGAAUUCCAGGUGUAGCGGUGAAAUGCGUAGAGAUCUGGAGGAAUACCGGUGGCGAAAGCGGCCCCC
This 688-nucleotide ribosomal RNA is filed under the name uncultured organism. RNAcentral's name for it is "SSU rRNA". It matches the Rfam family "Bacterial small subunit ribosomal RNA", at positions 52 to 729 of the family's 1533-position model. The record is from RNAcentral.